GGAUGCCUUUGCCGUCCGUAGCCUGAGAUUUCAGAUUUGCAGCAAAAAAAAUUGAUUUUCUCAUUUAUUGGAAUGCUAUGCAGGUUGUACCUUGCAGCCAUCCAUUACAAUGUCACCAAGCCGUAACAAAAGCAGGAGAGGGAAAGUACAAGGCUAUGUUCCCAAAACACAAAUGACAUACCUUAUGUGGAUGAUGUGAUCAGGCUUGUGUUUG
Paramisgurnus dabryanus is the source of this 214-nucleotide non-coding RNA. Lineage: Eukaryota; Metazoa; Chordata; Actinopteri; Cypriniformes; Cobitidae. The record is from RefSeq and is a predicted model, not a curated record.